GGGUUCAUAGCUCAGUGGUAGAGCAUUCGAUUGCAGAUCGAGAGGUCAUUGGUUCAAAUCCGAUUGGGCCCU
Molecule: non-coding RNA, 72 nt
Organism: Ipomoea triloba (trilobed morning glory)
Lineage: Eukaryota; Viridiplantae; Streptophyta; Magnoliopsida; Solanales; Convolvulaceae
Source: the annotation of a RefSeq genome assembly